Molecule: ribosomal RNA, 253 nt
Filed under: uncultured bacterium
Lineage: Bacteria
Description: partial 16S ribosomal RNA
Rfam family: Bacterial small subunit ribosomal RNA
Source: RNAcentral
UACAGAGGAGCCAAGCGUUGUCCGGAUUUACUGGGCGUAAAGAGCGCGCAGGCGGUCGUUCAAGUCGCGUGUGAAAGCCCCCGGCUCAACUGGGGAGGGUCACGCGAUACUGAUCGACUCGAAGGCAGGAGAGGGAAGUGGAAUUCCCGGUGUAGUGGUGAAAUGCGUAGAUAUCGGGAGGAACACCAGUGGCGAAGGCGACUUCCUGGCCUGUUCUUGACGCUGAGGCGCGAAAGCGUGGGUAGCAAACAGG